This is a long non-coding RNA of Panthera uncia (snow leopard), 575 nucleotides long. RefSeq lists it as uncharacterized. NCBI's taxonomy places the organism in Eukaryota, Metazoa, Chordata, Mammalia, Carnivora, Felidae. The record is from RefSeq and is a predicted model, not a curated record. The transcript has 3 exons.
ACAAAAAGGCACCGAUGAACAAACAAUAUCAGAGCCACCAGUAAAACGAAAUAAAAGUAACAGUAUGUAAGAUUAUUUGCAAGAAGGGUUUUCCAGGGCAAGAAACAAAAAGACAAGAAUGUCCAAGAGGGGUAGAGAUAAAAUAAAACCCACAGUCUGGGAAGAGGAUACACUAUAGUCAUGAAUUCACAAGUCUUAUCCUUUUGUGAACAAGACCAAGCACUGCUGUGGUGGGUAGUGAAGAUUGACAGUGUUGAUUUUAAACCAUACUAUUUUGGACUGAGGAAAGCAUAAGUGUACCCCCACCCUGGGGCUAUUUUGUAUUGUCCUGAUUUCUAGGAUGCUUAGAAAACUAAUGUUCAUCUGCUCCUGCUUGUGUAUUGUCCAUUGUAUGAGGAAAGUUAACAGUCCUUAUAGGGACUUUGUGUCCAGUGGAACCAGAGUGAUUGACUCAUCCUGGUCUUCCCAUGAGUGUCCCUACUUUACCACCAAAAGUCUGGAUCCAGGAAAUUCUUCAGUCUCAGGCAAAUCAACCUGGUUACCCAUCCUGAAUAAAUAGAACUCAAUAUGGCUCU